CGCAUCAUCGCAUGUCCGCAUCUCCAAAAUCCUUGGGAUAAUUGAUACAAACUCAGAGGAGGAGGUUUGGUCCCUGCAUGUGCAUAUAUUUUAUGUAUAUACUAUUGCGCGAUAAACACUGCGUGGUAAGCUAGGCGUAAAUAUACACAUACACGAAAAACUCAAAAGAGGUACCUUCCAGGGCUUCAAGAGAAAAAUAAAUAAAUAUAUAUAUAUAUAUAAUAUAUAUACCUAAAAGAGAAAAAAAGAAGAAGAAAAAAAUCAAAUCAUGCGUGCUCGUUUUCCCUGACAGCCACAGUCGCUCCGGCCUUCUCACCCGUCUCUGCCUCCAAGCCCACCAGGUCCAGCGCAUUCAUCGCGUCCUCGUGGUCAUUCAGCUUGUGGAACGUGAGCCAGAAAAUGAUGCCGGCACUGAACGACGCGCCGCACAGGCCCACAAACAUCCACAAGAUGGCGGGGUCGUACACGGCCGGGAGCAGGGCCUCGCCGAGCGCGGAGCCAAACGCGUUGGUCAGCAGGUACAUCGACUGCACGAAGCUCUUCAUGGAGGGCGGCGCCUUGGUGUACGCGUACUCGAGGCCGGAGACGCUGGCGAAGAUCUCGGAGAUGCCGAUGAAGACGUAUGCUGGCGUCUGGAUGCCGAUGUGCACGCGGUUGCCGCGCGCGACGCCGUCGACGAUCGACAGAUCGCAGUGCGGGUGCUCGUAGCAUGGACCUGCGGAGUAGAUGAGGUGCUGGACGAUGGCGGCGUACAUCAUUGCCAAUGAGCCGACGAUGAAGCCGAGGGUGAUGCGGCUGAUGGGGCGGAAUGGGAUAUGCAGCCGCUGCAGAAUGGGGUAUACGAGGCGGUCAAGGAUCGGGAUGAAGACGAUGAUGGAGAUCGCGUCGAAGUUUUGCAUGAGAUCAUUUGGAAUGCCAUGUCCUUCCAUUUGGCCAGCUGCACAAGAUGGGAUAGAAUGUGAACACCCGGCAAGCAACGAGGGCGCGCUUGAGUUCGUCGAUAAAGUGGUCGUUCCAAGGGAACGUCUGGCCGCCACCAUGCUCCAACUGGAAGGAGUUUUUGGGCGCGUCCAUGUUCCGGUUCUUAACCAUGACCCAGAUAGCCCUGAACGCAUCGGUGAUGACCGAUCCAGUUGGCGGGCGGACGAUGUAGAAUUUACGCCCGAGGAUCAGGACAGAGGUUCCAACAAGGAAGACACAGAGCGUGAGAAGAAAUGCGGACCAGAAGCCAACAUCUCUUUCCAUGUACGGAGUGGCCAGAAGGGAGAGCGAGCCGAUGUUGAUGCAAGCGUAGAAAAUCAUGUAGAUCCGUUGGAUGGUCAGGGCGGGAUCAAUGAUGACACGCUGACCCUUCUUGGUGGUCUUGAUGGCCAUCUUCUUGCGCUUGUAUUGGUCCGCGAUUAGGGGGGCCACGUUCGAUUUGAUGCCACCAGUGCCGAUGCCGAUGAUGAUGAUCGCAGUGACACAGCCGCCCAGGCCAGCACCAUGUGCAAGUGAAGGCGGGAGCGAUGUCAGAAGCAGGAUGACGAGACCGAUGAUAUAUACUAUGCAGAACCAGAAGAUGGCCAUAUAUUUCCCCAGGUAUUGAUCCGCAACGAUAGCACCAAAGAUAGGGGUUACUGAACACACAACACACGGAUCCCCUCAGCAUACAAUGAUCACCAUCACCUAAGCAGAUCGUAGGGUCACUUACCGUAGCACCAGAAUUGGAAAAAGGUGGUUAGACCAGUUGCACCCUGGUGACCCAGGCCUAGAGGUAAAAUAAAAUAAAAACGUCAAUGACAACUCUUCAUCGCGAUUUUUUUUUUCAGACAAGACAUAUAUGGAGGAGAAAAAAAGUAUGUCAAUCAAUCAUACCAAGAGCUCCUCGACCCAGACUGCCAUCAAGAGGCCGCUGUAUGUAAUUCUGGAACAGGCCAUUCAUUCCAUAGUACGUGAAACGCUCUGAGAGCUCAACCAUGGCAACCAACCAUGCCGAC
RNAcentral lists this small RNA (1979 nucleotides) under Histoplasma capsulatum var. duboisii H88. RNAcentral describes it as "Histoplasma capsulatum H88 hypothetical RNA". The record is from RNAcentral. Lineage: Eukaryota; Fungi; Ascomycota; Eurotiomycetes; Onygenales; Ajellomycetaceae.